ACUUCCUUCAGCAGUAGGGAAUAUUGCACAAUGGGGGAAACCCUGAUGCAGCAACGCCACGUGUGGGAAGAAGCAUUUCGGUGUGUAAACCACUGUCGUGAGGGACUCAUGCUAUUUCUCGGACUAGUUGAAUGUACCUCGAAAGGAAGCACCGGCAAACUUCGUGCCAGCAGCCGCGGUAAUACGAGGGGUGCAAGCGUUGUUCGGAAUCACUGGGCGUAAAGGGAGCGUAGGCGGAGAUGCAAGCAGUCUGUACAAUACCGGGGCCCAACCCCGGACCUGCAGACUGGACUGUGUCUCUUGGAUAGUUCAGGGGCUGGCGGAAUUCCUGGUGUAGCGGUGGAAUGCGUAGAGAUCAGGAAGAACACCGAUGGCGAAGGCAGCCAGCUGGGGACUCAUCGACGCUGAGGCUCGAAAGUGCGGGUAGCAAACAGGAUUAGAUACCCUGGUA
This 451-nucleotide ribosomal RNA is filed under the name uncultured Fibrobacter sp. RNAcentral describes it as "partial 16S ribosomal RNA". It matches the Rfam family "Bacterial small subunit ribosomal RNA", at positions 341 to 792 of the family's 1533-position model. The record is from RNAcentral. Lineage: Bacteria; Pseudomonadati; Fibrobacterota; Fibrobacteria; Fibrobacterales; Fibrobacteraceae.